ACAGCUUGGGACAAAAGUUCACGAAACACCGGGGUGUCGCAUUUCUCGAUUGGAGCGGCAGCCAACCAGUAAGCAGUCUCGGGCACACAUACCGAGUGAUGGACGGAAUAGCUGGUCUCACGUUUCUUAUUCGAUCCCUUCCUGACACGAGCGGGGGGCCGUUCCUAUGAAGAAAUAGGUAGAUAUCGUGUUCCGUACACUUUUGUCCCAAGCUGUACUCUUCCUUUUUGGUGUGGCUGCGGUUAUUACCAGGUAAUGCACAACGUUGUAUACAUCCAGGAGAGCGACACACUAACUCCUAGACGCUGAGACCUGGAACUUGUCGAUAACUUUUGCAUCGCUGAUUGAUAAGACAGAACCAUGGCAUCGCUGGAUGGAGGGACUCGAGCAAGCGGAAGGGUGGAACUUCGGGUAAACGCAUUUCAAGUGACCAUUGCCAGUCUGUUCACCCUGCUCGCAAUGUCGGUCCUUCUAUUUGGGGUGUACCUAUAUGCUCUGGUACACAGUGUGCUUGAAAGUGGCCGGUCAGUCAACGUCCUGUAUUCCGUCACAAGUGUGGCGAUGUUCUUCGAGAUCCCCCUUGCCGCUGCCGUCGUAAUGUACGGCAUCACCGUUGCACGACGUGACAACCCGUUUCCUGAACAUUGGCUUAUGCGCUUCCACAUCGCCAGUCUGUGUUGCUUCACCUUCGACUGCAUAUUCAUAAUGAUUCUCGCAUCCACAUUUCUCGUCUUCAGCAACGGAAUGCGUGCCUGAAUGGUACAAAUGCUACGUAAAUUAACGUAUAGAUGAUCCAAUAUUAAGCUGUAGUUUGCUGGUUGACCACAUUGCAGUGUAUUGUGUGCUGCGCGUGGUAUAUAUACUGUAAUAAACGCAUUAAGGAUCUGA
Molecule: long non-coding RNA, 888 nt
Organism: Ornithodoros turicata
Lineage: Eukaryota; Metazoa; Arthropoda; Arachnida; Ixodida; Argasidae
Exons: 3
Source: RefSeq, a predicted model, not a curated record